AAGUUAUUUGCGUCACUUUUUUAAUGAAUGAGCGACGCAAAUAAAUCCAGGUUAGUAAUAAAUUCUAAUUUUUCCACUCAUCUCGCCAUUUGCUGCUGCCUCCAAAUUCAAUAUACCCACAAAAAAAUACUCUUGCUAACCCAUUUGUUGUUGCCUUCAACAAUUGAAUUCAACAACACAAUUCUUUCAAACCAAAACCCAGAAAAAUCGAAAGAUUCAAGCCAAAAAUCUCUUAUUUUCGAGCACAAAAUCAAACCAAAACCCCUAGCAAAAUCGAACACUAAAACCCCCAUAAAAAUCUAGCAAAAAACCCCCCAAUUCGAGUAGAAGUUUGGUGUAUAAACCCCCAGCAAAUUCGAAUGUAAACCUUUGAAUAAUCGAAAAAUUUCCAGCCAAAAACCCCCCAAGUCGAGCAAAAAUUCCGACCUAAACUCCCAACAAUUUCGAACCCUGAAAACCCAGAAAAAUCGAACAUUUCGAGCAAAAAACCCCCAAUUAGAGCAGAAAUUCGAACCUAAUACCCCAAGAAAUUCGAACCCUAAAAACCCAGAAAAAUCAAACAUUUUUUGGCCAAAAACCGCCCAAUUUGAGCAGAAAUUCGUACCUUAACCCCAGCAAAUUCGUACCCUAAAAACCCUAGAAAAAUUAAACAUUUUGGAGCCAAAAACCCCCCAAUUAUUCGAGCAGAAAUUCAAACCUCAACCCCAAGCAGUAAAAUGCCUCAAUUCGAGCUCAAAAUGCCCCAAUUCGAGCUCAAAAUCAGUGCUAAACACCCCAGAAAAUUCAAGCAAAACCCCCUAAAAACUUAUUAUAUUUUACCCCCAUAAACCCUAGAAAUUUCGACCUAAUUAGAGGAAAAAAUCCGUGAAGUUCGACCCAUUGUAGCAGCUAAUUUGUGAAGUCAAUUUCACUCAAAUUUCUCAACUAUGUGGAAGUGAAUUCCUCAAGUUCCACGAGUUUGUGAUUGGGUACAAACAAUUGAGGCGGUAGUACACAUACGACAUUGUCUUCGCUUGUGGCCCUUGCAAGUUGCAACUAUGUUUCCAUUCAUGAAUCCUGAUUGUAUCCUCGGAUUUGAGGGAGGAUGAUAUGCUUAAGAAGCUUGGAGACCUUAUGAAUGAGAGUCAUUAUAGUUGCAGUGUUCUCUAUGAAUGCAGGAUUUUUCAAGAUCUACACCGUAUACAAAGGAGGAGAUAAACGAGGUUCGAGAUAUUUGGGCAGACUAUUUUAUAUGUUGUGUUGAACUUUAGAUCUACACUUAGCAAACUCCAUUUACUUGUUAGACUCUUGUUUUAUUUGUUAGGCUUGACAUGAAUGUAUUUGGUUUACCAACAAUUUGGGUUGGUAUUGGUGAUUGUGUUGGAUGAUGACCAUAAUGUUAAUGAUAUUGAGUUGUAAACUUAUUGGACAGGUUUAUAAUAUGCCGCCGUCAUUCCCAAUUUUAUGGGUAGGCCAAAAUACAAA
Molecule: long non-coding RNA, 1464 nt
Organism: Chenopodium quinoa (quinoa)
Lineage: Eukaryota; Viridiplantae; Streptophyta; Magnoliopsida; Caryophyllales; Amaranthaceae
Exons: 5
Source: RefSeq, a predicted model, not a curated record